GAAAGUAAAGAAGGGCGCAUGGCGGAUGCCUUGGCUCUCGGAGGCGAUGAAGGACGUGAUAAGCUGCGAUAAGCUUUGGGGAGGUGCAAAUGACCUUUGAUCCAGAGAUUUCCGAAUGGGACAACCCAAUAUCUUGAAGAGGUAUUAUCCAACGUUGUUGGAGGCUAACGCAGGGAACUGAAACAUCUUAGUACCUGCAGGAAAAGAAAAUAAACAAUGAUUCCCCCAGUAGUGGCGAGCGAACGGGGAACAGCCCAAACCAUCCAUGUUACGGCAUGGGUGGGGUUGUAGGACUACGCCGUUGCAUGAAGACAUCAGAGAAGAACUUUCUGGAAAGAAAGACCAUAGAGCAUGACAGUUGCGUAUUCGAAUGUUGUCGAAGCAUAGUAGUAUCCUGAGUAGCGCGGAGCACGAGGAAUUCUGCGUGAAUCUGCCGGGACCAUCCGGUAAGGCUAAAUACUCCCGAGAGACCGAUAGCGAACCAGUACCGUGAGGGAAAGGUGAAAAGCACUUCGAACAGAAGAGUGAAAUAGUUCCUGAAACCGUGCGCCUACAAGCGGUCGGAGCUCGUUAAUGAGUGACGGCGUGCCUUUUGCAUAAUGAACCUACGAGUUGCCUUUGCCGGCAAGGUUAAGUGUGACGACACACGUAUCCGAAGCGAAAGCGAGUCUGAAGAGGGCGUAUAGUCGGCAGUGGCAGACGCGAAACCAAGUGAUCUACCCUUGGCCAGGUUGAAGGCUGGGUAACACCAGCUGGAGGACCGCACCAAUAAGCGUUGAAAAGCUUCUGGAUGAGCUGAGGGUAGGGGUGAAAGGCUAAUCAAACUUGGAGAUAGCUCGUACUCCCCGAAAUGCAUUUAGGUGCAGCCUUGCGGGUUACUGAUGUGAGGUAGAGCGACUGAUAAGAUGCGAGGGCUUCACCGCCUAUCAAGUCUUGACAAACUCCGAAUGCGUGUCAGUUCUAUGUCAGGAGUGAGGGCAUGGGUGCUAAGGUCCAUGUCCUAAAGGAGAACAAUCCGGACCAACAGCUAAGGUCCCGAAAUGAAUACUAAGUUGAACUAACGAAGUCAGAUUGCUAAGACAGCUAGGAUGUUGGCUUGGAAGCAGCCAUUCAUUUAAAGAGUGCGUAACAGCUCACUAGUCGAGGAGUCGGGCGUGGAUAAUAAUCGGGUAUGAAGUUGUCUACCGAAGCAGUGGGAUCAUUUAUAUGAUCGGUAGGGGAGCAUUCCAGUCGGCGUCGAAGGCGUACCGUGAGGUAUUCUGGAGCGUCUGGAAAAGCAAAUGUAGGUAUAAGUAACGAUAAAGGGGGCGGGAAACCCCCUCGCCGAAAGACUAAGGUUUCCUGAUCAACGCUAAUCGGAUCAGGGUCAGUCGGGUCCUAAGGCUCAGCCGAACGGCGAUGCCGAUGGCAGAAACGGUUAAUAUUCCGUUACUACCUUCAGGAGUGACGUGGAGACGCAGUAGUGACAGUGCCGCCAUCUGACGGAAUAGAUGGUUGAAGGGUGUAGGAGUCGAUCAUGGCAGGCAAAUCCACCAUGAGAUCCGAACCUGAUAGUAUGCCGCGUCCUUCGGGACAAGGCAAUAGUGCGCGUAAGCAUGCUGCCGAGAAAAUCCGCUAAACUUAAUCCUGCAGGUACCCGUACCGCAAACGGACACACGUAGUCGGGUUGAAUAUACUAAGGCGCUUGAGUGAUUCACGGUUAAGGAACUAGGCAAACUGACCCUGUAACUUCGGGAUAAAGGGUCCUCGCUUAACGGCGAGGCGCAGAGAAUAGGUCCAGGCAACUGUUUAACAAAAACACAGGGCUGUGCAAAAUUGAAAGAUGAAGUAUACAGCCUGACACCUGCCCGGUGCUGGAAGGUUAAGAGGAGAUGUCAUCGCAAGAGAAGCAUUGAAUUGAAGCCCCAGUAAACGGCGGCCGUAACUAUAACGGUCCUAAGGUAGCGAAAUUCCUUGUCGGGUAAGUUCCGACC
RNAcentral lists this ribosomal RNA (1973 nucleotides) under human gut metagenome. Its description in RNAcentral is "bacterial LSU rRNA". It matches the Rfam family "Bacterial large subunit ribosomal RNA", at positions 1 to 1988 of the family's 2925-position model. The record is from RNAcentral.